This 235-nucleotide long non-coding RNA is filed under the name Homo sapiens (human). Its description in RNAcentral is "long non-coding RNA NONHSAT171246.1". Lineage: Eukaryota; Metazoa; Chordata; Mammalia; Primates; Hominidae. The record is from RNAcentral.
AUCCAUAUUCGUAUUGGUAGCCCCAUUGUAUUUAGAUAGUGUGAGCCAGCAGUGUUCACUUCCACCCAAUUCAGGGACUUCCUCUAGCAAGGUAUUGCAGUUUGGAAGUGGGAACAGAAGAGACUGUGCAAUCUUCACAGGAGAACAUUGUCAUGACAAAGAGGACAAACAAGUUCAAGGCAAAAAACUAAACCAUAACCUUGGGAUUCAAGGAAAAAGUCAUCAAGCACAGAGG